GCGGAAGUAGCUCAGUUGGUAGAGCAUCACCUUGCCAAGGUGAGGGUCGCGGGUUCGAGUCCCGUCUUCCGCU
RNAcentral lists this transfer RNA (73 nucleotides) under Bacteroidia bacterium. Its description in RNAcentral is "tRNA-Gly". It matches the Rfam family "tRNA". Rfam says of the family: Transfer RNA (tRNA) molecules are approximately 80 nucleotides in length. The record is from RNAcentral. Lineage: Bacteria; Pseudomonadati; Bacteroidota; Bacteroidia.